CAGUGUACAACAACAUACCUAUUAGACAGCAAAUUUGUAAGGUUACAGAACUUAAAUAUAGAAUUAGACAAAAUUAUAAUCACAAAAACCCACUAAAUAAUAUAAUACAGAAAAAAGAACAUAACAAAAAUGAAUAAAAUCAGAUGAUGAUCCACGAAAACCAACUUAACAUCUACAUAAAUAUAUAGACAAAAUAAUAAAAAAAAAACUAACUCAAACGACAAACUAUGCCUAACAUUCACUCGAUUCGGCCCUCACCCGGAAAUAA
Molecule: long non-coding RNA, 268 nt
Filed under: Ananas comosus (pineapple)
Lineage: Eukaryota; Viridiplantae; Streptophyta; Magnoliopsida; Poales; Bromeliaceae
Description: long non-coding RNA (ACOM_LNC026046)
Source: RNAcentral